RNAcentral lists this transfer RNA (73 nucleotides) under Salmo salar (Atlantic salmon). It matches the Rfam family "tRNA". From Rfam's summary of the family: Transfer RNA (tRNA) molecules are approximately 80 nucleotides in length. The record is from Rfam by way of RNAcentral. Lineage: Eukaryota; Metazoa; Chordata; Actinopteri; Salmoniformes; Salmonidae. RNAcentral also lists the same sequence under 1 other name.
AUCCCUGUAGCUCAGUUGGUAGAGCAUGGUGUUUGCAACACCAGGGUUGUGGGUUCGUUUCCCACGGGGGGCC